UGGGGAAUCUUCCGCAAUGGGCGAAAGUCUGACGGAGCAACGCCGCGUGUAUGAUGAAGGUCUUCGGAUUGUAAAGUACUGUCAUUGGGGAAGAACGGUUUUCUUGAAAAGAUUGAGAAGACAUGACGGUACCCAAGGAGGAAGCCCCGGCUAACUACGUGCCAGCAGCCGCGGUAAUACGUAGGGGGCAAGCGUUGUCCGGAAUUAUUGGGCGUAAAGGGCGCGUAGGCGGGCCUUUAAGUCCGGUGUGAAAGAUCAGGGCUCAACCCUGAGAGUGCAUCGGAAACUGGAGGCCUUGAGGACAGGAGAGGAAAGUGGAAUUCCACGUGUAGCGGUGAAAUGCGUAGAUAUGUGGAGGAACACCAGUGACGAAGGCGACUUUCUGGACUGUAACUGACGCUGAGGCGCGAAAGCGUGGGGAGCAAACAGGUUAGANACCCUGGUAGUCCACGCCGUAAACGAUGNGUGCUAGGUGUAGAGGGUAUCACCCCGUUCUGUGCGCAGUUAACANAAUAAGCACUCCCGCCUGGGGAGUACGGCC
Molecule: ribosomal RNA, 541 nt
Filed under: uncultured bacterium
Lineage: Bacteria
Description: partial 16S ribosomal RNA
Rfam family: Bacterial small subunit ribosomal RNA
Source: RNAcentral